This 253-nucleotide ribosomal RNA is filed under the name uncultured bacterium. RNAcentral describes it as "partial 16S ribosomal RNA". It matches the Rfam family "Bacterial small subunit ribosomal RNA", at positions 524 to 776 of the family's 1533-position model. The record is from RNAcentral.
GACAGAGGAUGCAAGCGUUAUCCGGAAUUAUUGGGCGUAAAGGGCGCGUAGGCGGUGCGGUAAGUCACCUGUGAAAACUCUGGGCUCAACUCAGAGCCUGCAGGCGAAACUGCCGUGCUUGAGUGUGGGAGAGGAUCGCGGAAUUCCCGGUGUAGAGGUGAAAUUCGUAGAUAUCGGGAGGAACACCAGUGGCGAAGGCGGCGAUCUGGGAAGAUACUGACGCUGAGGUGCGAAAGCGUGGGGAGCAAACAGG